GGCGGUGUGGCUGAGUGGUUAGGCGCCGGGUUGCAGCCCCGGUUACCUCGGUUCGAGUCCGAGUUCCGCUU
Molecule: transfer RNA, 71 nt
Filed under: Kribbella sp. VKM Ac-2568
Lineage: Bacteria; Bacillati; Actinomycetota; Actinomycetes; Propionibacteriales; Kribbellaceae
Description: tRNA-Cys
Rfam family: tRNA
About the family: Transfer RNA (tRNA) molecules are approximately 80 nucleotides in length. Their secondary structure includes four short double-helical elements and three loops (D, anti-codon, and T loops). Further hydrogen bonds mediate the characteristic L-shaped molecular structure. tRNAs have two regions of fundamental functional importance: the anti-codon, which is responsible for specific mRNA codon recognition, and the 3' end, to which the tRNAs corresponding amino acid is attached (by aminoacyl-tRNA synthetases). tRNAs cope with the degeneracy of the genetic code in two manners: having more than one tRNA (with a specific anti-codon) for a particular amino acid; and 'wobble' base-pairing, i.e. permitting non-standard base-pairing at the 3rd anti-codon position.
Source: RNAcentral